UUUAUUGUAAACUCUAAACCCUAACCGUCCUUCUAAACCCUAACCGUUCUUCUAAACCUAAAUCAAUAUUUAACCUCGUU
RNAcentral lists this small RNA (80 nucleotides) under Arabidopsis thaliana (thale cress). RNAcentral's name for it is "ATSL100240". The record is from RNAcentral. Lineage: Eukaryota; Viridiplantae; Streptophyta; Magnoliopsida; Brassicales; Brassicaceae.